RNAcentral lists this long non-coding RNA (7255 nucleotides) under Ananas comosus (pineapple). Its description in RNAcentral is "long non-coding RNA (ACOM_LNC026620)". Lineage: Eukaryota; Viridiplantae; Streptophyta; Magnoliopsida; Poales; Bromeliaceae. The record is from RNAcentral.
ACUGGGAACUAUUCGUAGUUCUCACUCCACCAUGUUACAGGUCCGAGCUCGAGCGCCCCCGGUGAGGAUCGCGGCAAGGGCGUAGCGCCCUAGCGGCGUGGUAUUAGUAGAUAGCUUUACUUUCCCCUUGCAUUAGCUCCACCCUAUGCUUUAUAUUUUGAGAGUAGAUGUUGUAUAGGGUGAGGUUUGGAGAGUGGUUGUACGUAAGCUUGAAUAAAUGUAAUCAAAGUAUUCAAGUUAAAAGAAAAUAAUUGUAUAAAGUUAAAUGAGCUUAAUAGUUAAGUAUCUCUCUUUUAUUCACUUGUAUGAUUGUAUUACUCGUGAUGCUUGCUCUCGUAAUGUAUAGCACUGGUUGUGCUUUUGUUGUUAUUGAAUGAUUUUGUAUGUAUUCAAGUUGUUUUCCUGGAAACUUGUUGUACACAGUCUCGUCGUUGGAGCCUUAGGCGGACAGGGGAGACUCUGUCCGUUCGGCCUCACGCCCGCCGCCCUCGAAUCGGACCAAAUUGGUACCGUCUUCGGGUCAUGCGUUCGGGGGCGUGACAACUAUGUUCAACAACGAGGUCAUUCAUUCGAUUACCCAAUCUCUCGGCGAACGCAAGGCUCGCUCACAGUCUCACGUGUGUAAGUCUCAUAGGGGAGGAGGUCAACUACUGGACUACCCCCGAGACCGCCUGUGGACAGUUAGCGGCUGUCCGGGCAGCUAGCGGCUACCCCUCAAGUGACAAUACUCCGGAGUGCACAACUUGUGUGGAGCUACCACCACAAGUGCAGACAGGCUGCGCGAGCUCGAUCCAAUCUCAUGAGCUAAGAACAUCCUACCCGACCAGGGGUGAUAGCAAUUUAGACUCAGGUGUUCUAGUAGUCAAUCACCUAGUAUCCCAACUAUACUAAUGUUCUCAUGCCACUCUGGGUCAUAUUUAAAGUCAUUAGAUGCCACUCGUCCAAUGUUUAAGAUUAACUAAAUGCCACUCGUUCCCCUGACAAGUUCUCGAUACACUAGUUGCAUUUUACUAGGUUCUCAUCCACAUAAGCAUAUUCCUUCCUUAUCAACUAUCUUUUCAUUCUAGGGUCUCAAGUCACUUGACACUAUGUUAAGCAUACUAGAUUUAGGUAUUAAGCAAAUUAACUCUACGCUAUUCUACUAGCAUGCAAGAACGUGUAACAAUUACAUUUAGCACCCUACAAUGCAACAUUACAACAUGUAAUCGAUCGACUUGAUAAACUUAGAAAUAGGGAGCAGUUCAACUGCUUUGGGAUGGCACUCCCCCACCUCGUGGCGAUGUCGCGAUUCUUCGAGCACGAUUCGCCGACUUUACGACGCCUCGUUGGCCUUCUAGGCAGGAACGAAGCUCCGAGGGUCUCCUUUGACGAUAACUUCGCACCUACUCGACGGAUUGACGAACCGUCUUCGCCGACACGUUCAGGAACCUAGCAAUUAGGUUUGCGACCCAUCAAACGAGAUCAAAACCCUAGAUUUGCUAAAAUCCCAAAUCGGGGCCCUAGGUCUCAACAAUGGAGAAAUCCGCGGUGCGAGCUUCAAUCUCGAGCUCGAACCAUCUCCUUAGCUUCAAUAGGUUCCAUUCGAACCAUUUCUAAGCCAUAAAACCCUAUCACAAUAAAUCCACCAUUGUAAGGUUGAGGCUUACCUUCAAAACCCACUCCAACAAGAGGAAGAAGAUGAGGAAGACGAUCUUCACCUUUGUCUUCUUCUUCUUCUACUUCUUCUCCAUCCUCUCCUCCUCUUUCUUCUUCUCCUUCUCUUGCUUCUAGAGAGAGAGAGAGAGAGAGAGAGAGCAAUGAGAGUGUGGAAUUGGGAGAGAAAUAAGAGAAUGAGAGAGGGAGAGGGGUCCUCAAGCCCUCAUAAAGGCAGUUUUGCAAAUAAGCCCCUCAACUUUCCUCUUACGAAGCAGUCCUCACUGGGCCACUUUCGGGUACGGGGACCGGUCCCUCUCAGGGAGGACCGGUCCCCCGAGAGCUGCCCAAAAAUUACGCGUACGGGAACCGGUCCCCACACUGAGGGACCGGUCCCCGAGAGCUUUCUCCGAAAAAUUGGGGCUACGGGAACCGGUCCUCUCCCAGAGGGACCGGUCCCCGAGAGCAUGAAAUCUGCUCCUUGAGCAGAUUUCGCUCCAAGCUCUCGCGGGUCCGUCCUCAAUAAACUUUCGACGUUUUUGAUGUUCUCGGACUUUCCGAAGCACACCAACUCGACAAUUAGUCGAUUUUAAACAUAGUCAAAUCCUCGAAUUUCGAGAAUUCACCUCCCUUACAAUAUAUCCCGCUUGAAUUCCUCCCACAACAUUGGCGGAAGAUCGGAAGGCCGAUCCCGCUUCACGCACUUCCACCACACCUUCGCCGCUUUCUCCAAGCAAUGGGUGGCGAGGUACACCUUAUCCCUCUCCAAGGUACGCAAAUCAUCGAAGAGGGUUUCCAUCGAGUCGAUCCAAGACUCGACCAUCGCCGGCUCCACCUUCUUGCCCUCAAAAGUUGGCGGAUGGAACUUGUUAAACUUGAUAAGAGCCGCCAAUGCGCGCUCUCCUUCCACAUCUUCGGCCGUCACAUCGGGUGUAGCCGAUCCCGACGCCGCAAGAGGAACAAUUGUCGGCGGGGGACGCGCCGCCACCGGAACCGCCGCUAUACCCUCACCCUCAGCUGGCUCAGGCACGCGAGUCAAGGGUACGGGCACCUCGCAUCCAUCCGUCGCCGUUGCGACCGCCGCCGCAGCCUGCCGCUCCAAGAGCUCCUGGAGCCGCUCGAAUCGGGUCUCCUGGCGCUGCACCACAUCGGUCAGCGCAGUCACUUGCGCUUGCAACCGAUCCAUCACGCUCGGUUCAUCCUGCUCGGGCACCUCAGAAGUUGGUGCUGGGGCAGAUCUACGAGUGUAGCGUCUUGGAGACAUUAGUCCCUGAAACGCAAAUACUUGGUCAGUCAUCUUAACCAAUUACCUCGUCGAACUUACGACACAAGACGACUCCCUAACGAAAUCGAGCGGAAGCAUACAAGCAUACUCGUUCUAGAUUCUUGGCAUCACGUCGUCGGCCGCCGACAUAACCACCUCAAAUCAAGAACUAAUACCACUUGAAUCCGUCUCUAUUCACAACUAGAGACAUAUUAUCAACUUCGACCCAAUCGAAUUAACUUCCGCCAUCGUUAUAGGUUCACGUUCCGCUCACGCACCUAUAACCUUAGGGCUCACCAACUAGGGUCUCCUAGGUCAUCCUAGACUUUCUCUCUCUACUUGCUCUUGUUGCUCUGAUACCACUAUACCUGUCACACCCCGCCCCGAAACCACUACCAGUUUGGCAUGAUUCGGGCGCGGCGGCGGACCGCCGAACGGACAGCACCUCCCCUGUCCGCCCAAGGCUCAACAACGGGAAUGUGUACAAGAAUUUACCCAGGAAUUUAAAUUCUAAACAUACACAUUCAACGAGGGCACAAACAGUGCCAACAACAAGAAGAGCAAGCAAUCCACAAGAAUGACAUGUGAAAUAAAGAGAGGACUUUACUAACUAUUACAAUAGUUUGCAUUCUUUUUCAUUUACAUCAUUUUCUCAAAAUGUAUACAUUUGAUCCUCAAAAUACAUAGCCCUCCAACCUCACCUACAUGAAUCUCUCUCAAUACAUAGGUGUGCUAAUGCAAAAGGAAAGCUACUAUACUACCGCGGUCUCACUGGUCGGCGGAUCCUUGCCCCGUCCUCUCUCGGCAACCUGUACUACACUGGAAUAGAGUGGGGGUGAGAACUACUUUCCAUAGUUCCAGUGGGCUCGGACGCGACUCUGCCGAUCUUCCCCACUAGGUCAAGUGGGCACAAGCAAAAAAGAUAGAUAGAUAGAUAGAUAUCUGAAAGCUGUAAAUGCGAUAGUAGGAACAACUAUGCUAACUAUGCCCAAAAUCAUGAAUAUGAAUGCAUGCAUCAUAUAAUAAAGGUUUGCUACCAUGCUAACAAAUUCGAUACAUGUUCGAAUAGUAAUGUUCAAUGACAUUUUUAAACGUUUAUCUUUCCAUUUACCCAAUCUGUGGCGAGACCCUGGGGCUCGUCAAUGACUCACCUUUCAAUCCCAAAGUAGGGAGGGAGCUCCAAGUGCACCCAAGCCCGGGACCGUCUGCGGACCUCCAUGUGGUCCGGACCUCCAAGUGGUCCUAAUCGCACGACACUCCGGAGUACUCGACGACAAUCCCCUCCAUGUGGGGAUAGGAUGGCUAUACCACCCCAAAGCAGACUGUGAGCUAGAUCUAUCCUCUCCAAGUGAGGAUACACUACACUAGGGUCAACAACCCAAUCAAAUCCUCUCCAAGUGAGGAUGCUCUACAACUAGAGUCAACAUCUCUCGCGGAAUCAUUUGUUCCCGACAUUCAUGCAAUGCUAUUUAGCUUUCUAAAUUCAUUGUUCACAAGGCAUUUUCUAAGGGAUCCACCUAUCCCUAGGUUCUCAAACCUCUAGUGUUAUUUACACUACAUUAAUGCCACUCAUCAUCAUUUAACGUUUGGAUGCCACUUAUGUGUUCCUUGACACUAACCACUACUUUCUAUGUCAUCAACACCCCCAUUGGGUUCAUCUCUUUUCUUUCGCAUCAUAGGAUCCACGUUCCGACCCAAUCCUCACCUAUCUAAGUUACCAAGCGUUCCAAGUACACUAGGUUAUCAAUUAGAAAGCAUAAGGAAAGGUACUACUAUGCAAUCCUACAAUACAACAUGCAAGAGAUGAGAUUAAAUGCAAUCUAAGACAUAGAAUGGAGUUCGAAAGCUUCGGGAUGGCACCCCCCACCUUUUAUCGAUGAAGAGGCUUUAGAAAUGAUCCUCGGCGAACUUUACGAAAAGGCUUUAGCCUUCCUUGCCUAAGACAAUGCUAGAUCGGCCUCGUUUUGCCGAUAACUUCACGCCGGCUCGCCGAAUGCUAAAACCGACUUCGCCCCCACAUUUUGUGACCUAGCAAUUAGGUUUCCAAGGCUUCAAAUGAGAUCAAUCUCAUACUUUCUCAAAAACCCCAUUUUGGAGCCCUAGGUUUGCACCUAUAGCAAACCACCAAUAAAUCCCUAGAUUUCUUGGGAUUGAUCUAUUUAGAAGCUUGCUUAGGGUCCAUUUGAUCCAUUCCUAAGCAUCAAAACCCAAAACCCUAAGUUCUAAAAGCUAGGGUUCAAGAGCUUACCUCUUGAGCUACUCCAAAGAGAAGAUAAGAGGGAGAUGAAGGUGUCCAAGGCCUUCCUCUUGGUCUCCUUCUUCUUCUUCUUCUUUUUUUCUUCUUCUCCUUUUCCUUCCUCUCCUUCUUGUUCCUCUUUUUCUUCUUCUCCUUCUAGGGAGAGAGAGGGUGAGAAAAUAUGAGAGGGAGAGAGUGUGAGUGAGGGUGAGAGAGGAAGAGGGCUCAGCCCCUCUAAUCCCUCCCUAACUAAUGCCAUUUUGCACAAAAACCCCUCAACUUUUAAUACUAUACACUGCCCUUACUGGGCAGAAUUCGCGUGGAGGGACCGGUCUCCCCGACUUGGGACCGGUCCCCAAGGGCCUUCCUCGGGCGCACACGUUCGGGAACCGGUCCCUCCCCGGGAGACCGGUCCUCGGGAGACCGGUCCUCGCCUGAGAGACCGGUCCCCGAGAGCUCGAUUUUCAGGACUUAGCCAAAUUUCAGCAUUUCUCGCCGGGACCACGUUCAGGAACCGGUCCCUCCCUGCUAGGGACCGGUUGCACCAAGCAACCCCGCACACCCAGCCGAUGGAACCGGUCUCUCACCUCCAGGGACCGGUCCCCGAGAGUAACAUCAGCCCAAUGAUGCUGUUUGCACCAUUUGCUCUCGUGGACUCAACUCCAAGGCACUUUUUGUGCUUUGGACAUCUUUAAUUUCCCCAAAGGGUAUUCUCUCGAAAAAUAGUCGAUCCUGGACGAAGUACAACUCUCGGAUUUCGAGAAUUCACUUCCUUACACCGACAGCGAAACAGACUAGUGAGUAUGAUCCAAUCCUCUCAAGAGGAUACCCUAUCUACUAGGGUCAAUGUGCCUCUGCUGCACAGUCAUGAUAUAUAUAAUCAAUGUUGGAACUUCUACUAUCCCUAAGUUCAUGUCAAGUUUACUACACUAGACUCAAUGCCACUCAUUUAGUCAUUGUAGUAAAUGUCUCAAUUAUUCUACAUGCCACUCGUUCAUGUUUAGUGUUUCUACUGCACUAGUCAAUGCCACUCUACUAGGCUAUCAUGUGUCCAAGUUCGGCUCUUUAUGCCAUUAUAGGAUUUUCAUGUCACAAGACCCAAUCCUCAUGCUACCCUAGUCCAUGUGUUCGACUCAUAAGUUACACUACUAAGAAGCAUGCAAGGAAAAGGAAAUGUACAUCUAUUAACCCUAUAAUGCAAUAUGAUCAACAUAUAUAUAACUUAGACAUAAAAAGAAACCCGGAUGCUUCGGGAUGACACCCCCCACCUCUUGAGGGUAUGAAGGCUCUAGAAAUGCCCUCCAACGGACGUUACGACAAAGUCUUGGUCUUCUUGGUCCAAAAUGACGCUCAAUCGGCCUUGUUUUGCCGAUAGCUCUUGACCCACUUGACGAAUGCGAAAUCCAACCUCGCCCCCGCGUUUAGCCACCUACCAAUUAGGUUAGAGGAGGGUCAAAUGAGAUCAAUCCUCUACUUUUCCAAAAACCCUAUUUUGGAGUCCUAGGGUUCCCAUCUUGCCAUUUGCAAUUUGGAACCCUAACUCUAGCUUCAAUCCACCAACAAUGGUGCUUGGGUUCCAUUUGACCCCAUUCCCAAAGCUAAAAACCAAAAAACCCCAAAUUUCACAAGCUAGGGUUAGAAGCUUAACUCUAGGUUAGCUCCAAGAGAGAAGAGAGGAAGAGGGAGAGGUCCAAAGCCUUCCUAGAUUGAUCUUCUUCUUCUUCUCCUUCCUUUUCUUCCUUCUUUUCCUUCUGUUUCCUUCUUUUUCUUCUUUUUCUUCUUUUCUUCUAGAGAGAGAGAUGGAGAAAGAGUGUGAGAGAGAGAGGGAGUAGAAUGAGAGAGUGAGGGAGUAAUCUCCCAUGUAUACCCCUCUAACUAAGGCCAUUUUGCAUAAAAGCCCCUCACCUUUCAUCUCUGUGCACUGCCCUCACUGGGCUGUCUGCGCGCGGAGGGACCGGUCUCCCCGACUUGGGACCGGUCCCCGAGAGCUUCAGCUCGGGUCACGCGUUCGGGUACCGGUCUCUCCCAGAGAGACCGGUCCUCGGGAGACCGGUUCCUUCCUGAGAGACCGGUUCCCGAGAGCUGGGAUUUAGGACUUAGCCAAAUUUUGGCUUUUCUCGCUG